CCUACGGGGGGCAGCAGUCGAGAAUCAUUCACAAUGGGGGAAACCCUGAUGCAGCAACGCCGCGUGGGUGAAGAAGUACUCCGGUAUGUAAAGCCCUGUCAGCAGGGAAGAAAAUGACGGUACCUGACCAAGAAGCCCCGGCUAACUACGUGCCAGCAGCCGCGGUAAUACGGAGGGGGCAAGCGUUAUCCGGAUUUACUGGGUGUAAAGGGGGCGUAGACGGCAAGGCAAGUCUGGAGUGAAAGCCCGUGGGCCAACCACGGGACUGCUGUGGAAACUGUGUUGCUGGAGUGCAGGAGGGGUAAGCGGAAUUCGUGGUGUAGCGGUGAAAUGCGUAGAUAUUAGGAGGAACACCGGUGGCGAAGGCGGCUUACUGGACUGUAACUGACGUUGAGGCUCGAAGGCGUGGGGAGCAAACAGGAUUAGAUACCCCUGUAGUC
RNAcentral lists this ribosomal RNA (440 nucleotides) under uncultured bacterium. RNAcentral describes it as "partial 16S ribosomal RNA". It matches the Rfam family "Bacterial small subunit ribosomal RNA", at positions 338 to 795 of the family's 1533-position model. The record is from RNAcentral.